GGCACUACUGCGAAAAGUGAAAACCAAUAGAAUAAACUACUCCUCCCUCCCUCCCUCCCUCCUUCCUAGUACAAAACACACACUAUUUUCAAUUUCAAAAUUUGGCCUACAUCCAUUCAGAUCUAUCUUCUUUGGAUUUUUCUCAACCAUCGAACAUGCCUCCUACAGACAAUGAUUACGAUCUCAGACGUGCAUCUACUCCACCUAGCGGUAUGGGAAUCAGUGAAUGUAACUUUGCAGAUAUCAACAAUUUGGAGCACUGUGCUAAGUAUCUCAACCAAACAUUGGUCACUUUCGGGUUUCCUGCUUCUCUCGAUCUUU
RNAcentral lists this unclassified non-coding RNA (321 nucleotides) under Hevea brasiliensis (rubber tree). The record is from RNAcentral. Lineage: Eukaryota; Viridiplantae; Streptophyta; Magnoliopsida; Malpighiales; Euphorbiaceae.